RNAcentral lists this transfer RNA (62 nucleotides) under Bathymodiolus septemdierum. RNAcentral's name for it is "tRNA-Tyr". The record is from RNAcentral. Lineage: Eukaryota; Metazoa; Mollusca; Bivalvia; Mytilida; Modiolidae.
CAAUAAAUAAAUUUAAAUUCAAGAGGUGUAAACUUUUUGUAAUUUUUUUGUAAACUUUUUGU